This 69-nucleotide transfer RNA is filed under the name Pimpla luctuosa. RNAcentral's name for it is "tRNA-Cys". Lineage: Eukaryota; Metazoa; Arthropoda; Insecta; Hymenoptera; Ichneumonidae. The record is from RNAcentral.
AAAUUUUUAGUUUAUAAUAAAACAUUAAAUUGCAAAUUUAAAAAAAUAAUUAUUUAAUUUUAAAAUUUU